RNAcentral lists this ribosomal RNA (1408 nucleotides) under uncultured Rhizaria. RNAcentral's name for it is "SSU rRNA". It matches the Rfam family "Eukaryotic small subunit ribosomal RNA", at positions 384 to 1804 of the family's 1831-position model. The record is from RNAcentral.
CGGAGAGGCAGCAUGAGAAACGGCUACCACUUCUAAGGAAGGCAGCAGGCGCGCAAAUUACCCAAUCCUGACUCAGGGAGGUAGUGACAAGAAAUGACAAUAAACCGGCUUAUGCCGGUUUAAUUGGAAUGAGUACAAUUUAAACAUCUUAACGAGGAACAAUUGGAGGGCAAGUCUGGUGCCAGCAGCCGCGGUAAUUCCAGCUCCAAUAGCGUAUACUAAAGUUGUUGCAGUUAAAAAGCUCGUAGUUGGAUUUCUGCGGGGACGGAGCGGCCGGACGCAACUUGCGUCUCGAGCUAGCGCUUUCCCCACAUCCUGCCGCGAACCGUGCUACCAUUAGCUUGGUGGCGCUGGGGAUCGGCUCGAUUACUUUGAGAAAAAUAGAGUGUUCAAAGCAGGCCACACGCCUUGAAUAAGUUAGCAUGGAAUAAUGAUUAAGGACUUCGGUUCUAUUUUGUUGGUGUUCGGGACUGAAGUAAUGAUUGAUAGGGACAGUUGGGGCGGUCUGUAUCCAAAGCGAGAGGUGAAAUUCUUAGACCUUCGGAAGACAAACAGCUGCGAAAGCGUUCCGCAAGGAUGUUCCCUUUGAUCAAGAACGAAAGUUGGGGGAUCGAAGACGAUCAGAUACCGUCGUAGUCUCAACUAUAAACUAUACCAGCUAGGGAUCGGCCAACGUUUAACUUUAUCGACUUGGUCGGCACCUUAUGAGAAAUCAAAGCAUCUGGGUUCCGGGGGGAGUAUGGUCGCAAGGCUGAAACUUAAAGGAAUUGACGGAAGGGCACCACCAGGCGUGGAGCCUGUGGCUUAAUUUGACUCAACACGGGAAAACUUACCAGGUCCAGACAUAGGAAGGAUUGACAGAUUGAUAGCUCUUUCUUGAUUCUGUGGGUGGUGGUGCAUGGCCGUUUUUAGUCGGUGAAGUGAUUUGUCUGCUUAAUUGCGUUAACGGACGAGACCCCAGCCUGCUAAAUAGCGCGGCCGAGCUUUGCUCGGUGCGAGCUUCUUAGAGGGACCAUGAUGCGCGAUAGCGCAAGGAAGUUUGGGGCAACAACAGGUCUGUGAUGCCCUUAGAUGUUCUGGGCCGCACACGGGCUACACUGGCGCCUGCAACGAGCAUAUCAGCUGGCCCGAGAGGGUCUUGGCUAAUCUUUGGAACCGGCGCCGUGCUUGGGAUUGACCAUUGCAAUUGUUGGUCAUGCAACGAGGAAUGCCUUGUAAACGCGAGUCAUCAGCUCGCAUUGAAUACGUCCCUGCCCUUUGUACACACCGCCCGUCGCUCCUACCGAUGAAUGUUCCGAUGAAAUUUUCGGAGAGCGCCGGAGAACGGGGCUCCGCCCUGCAGAACUGGAGGCUCAAAGUCACUUAAAUCUGAACAUUUCGAGGAAGGAGAAGUCGUAACAAGGUAACC